ACGGGAGGCAGCAGUGGGGAAUAUUGGACAAUGGGCGGAAGCCUGAUCCAGCAACGCCGCGUGAGGGAUGACGGCCUUCGGGUUGUAAACCUCUUUCAGCAGGGACGAAGCGCAAGUGACGGUACCUGCAGAAGAAGCACCGGCCAACUACGUGCCAGCAGCCGCGGUAAUACGUAGGGUGCGAGCGUUGUCCGGAAUUAUUGGGCGUAAAGGGCUCGUAGGCGGUUUGUCGCGUCGGGAGUGAAAACCAGGUGCUUAACACCUGGCUUGCUUUCGAUACGGGCAGACUAGAGGUAUUCAGGGGAGAACGGAAUUCCUGGUGUAGCGGUGAAAUGCGCAGAUAUCAGGAGGAACACCGGUGGCGAAGGCGGUUCUCUGGGAAUGACCUGACGCUGAGGAGCGAAAGUGUGGGGAGCGAACAGGAUUAGAUACCCUGGUA
RNAcentral lists this ribosomal RNA (439 nucleotides) under uncultured Actinomycetales bacterium. RNAcentral describes it as "bacterial SSU rRNA". It matches the Rfam family "Bacterial small subunit ribosomal RNA", at positions 341 to 792 of the family's 1533-position model. Lineage: Bacteria; Bacillati; Actinomycetota; Actinomycetes; Actinomycetales. The record is from RNAcentral.